Molecule: long non-coding RNA, 517 nt
Organism: Camarhynchus parvulus
Lineage: Eukaryota; Metazoa; Chordata; Aves; Passeriformes; Thraupidae
Exons: 4
Source: RefSeq, a predicted model, not a curated record
CCAUGGCCACCGCCGGAAGUGGGCCCGGGCCGCUUCCGCCCGAACUCCUCUCCCCGUGACGCCAACCGGAAGUGGCUGUGGAAGAGCAGCUGCCCUCACUUGUCCUCCCGACUGUGCAGCCCGGCCGGGGAGCGGCAAUGCCAACCAGGGGUUCCGCCCUCACGGGGUUCCCCACCGAACCAUCAGUGAAGACUCUCCCCCACAUCUAGGACUGGUUUGCAGACUGGGCAAGCCCCAACAGGAGGAUCUCAAAAUCUUCUGCAAACUUGAAUUUUCUUCCCCAACAUGCCCACUGCAGCUGGAUGCUGGUGCCUCCUGCAGCAGCCCUGGGUUGUAUCUGUCUGACAACACACCUCCAGUGACUCUCUUAAUUAAGUCUCCCUCACUGCUGCGAGACUGUCACAGUGAUUUUGCACUGCGGGGCUCCACAGAGUCCAACCAGCAACGCUGCAGGAGCUGAAAGUUGCAGCAGCAAUGCAGGAGUGAGCCAAGGAGCCAGGUCAGAAAAGAGAACCCC